Anneissia japonica is the source of this 362-nucleotide long non-coding RNA. RefSeq lists it as uncharacterized. The transcript has 2 exons. NCBI's taxonomy places the organism in Eukaryota, Metazoa, Echinodermata, Crinoidea, Comatulida, Comatulidae. The record is from RefSeq and is a predicted model, not a curated record.
UUAUUCCUGCAUCAAUAUUCCCCAAAUCUUUGAUGCGGAUGGGAGUGAAAUUCUAACAAUUUGCCCUUAUUUAUCUGCUUAGAACCGAUGAGGACCAACAAUAAGUCGUACAAAAUUUUCUCUGAGAUAAUCAUCCAGCAACGAAUUAUCAAGAACCAUGAGAUUUUAAGGAUGACCAAGUUACUUCAGUUGUUUUCAAAAAUUGUUAAAAAUCAUGAAGGGCUUGAAAUGACAAAUUACAGAACUGAUCAACUUAAGUACCGUUUAAGGAAGGACUUUCCACAGUUAUGCUUCCCUCCCCUGCCCCUCCCCUGACGGUUUUUAACGGGCUGCCCAAGCCGUCGUACCGGGCUGGGUAAUAA